CUCAACCGUAGAACUGCAUCCCAAAACUAUUUAGCUAGAGUGUGGGAGAGGAAGAUGGAAUUAGUUGUGUAGGGGUAAAAUCCGUAGAGAUAACUAGGAAUACCAAAAGCGAAGGCAAUCUUCUGGAACACUACUGACGCUGAGGCGCGAAGGCGUGGGGAGCAAACAGGAUUAGAUACCCUGGUAGUCCACGCAGUAAACGAUGAAUGUUAGUCGUCGGGUAGCUAGUCUAUUCGGUGAUGCAGCUAACGCAUUAAACAUUCCGCCUGGGGAGUACGGUCGCAAGAUUAAAACUCAAAGGAAUAGACGGGGACCCGCACAAGUGGUGGAGCAUGUGGUUUAAUUCGAAGAUACGCGAAGAACCUUACCUAGCCUUGACAUAUUUUAGAAUCUUUCAGAGAUGAGAGAGUGCCUUCGGGAGCUAUUAUACAGGUGCUGCACGGCUGUCGUCAGCUCGUGUCGUGAGAUGUUGGGUUAAGUCCCGCAACGAGCGCAACCCUCGUCACUAGUUACUAACGGUUCGGCCGAGGACUCUAGUGAGACUGCCUUCGUAAGGAGGAGGAAGGUGAGGACGACGUCAAGUCAUCAUGGCCCUUACGGCUAGGGCAACACACGUGCUACAAUGGCCAGGACAGUGAGACGCGAUACCGCGAGGUGGAGCAAAUCUAUAAACCUGGUCUCAGUUCGGAUUGUAGUCUGCAACUCGACUACAUGAAGCUGGAAUCACUAGUAAUCGUAGAUCAGCUAUGCUACGGUGAAUACGUUCCCGGGUCUUGUACUCACCGCCCGUCACACCAUGGGAGUUGAUUUCACCCGAAGCGGGGAAGCUAAACUGGCUACCCUCCACGGUGGAAUUAGCGACUGGGGUG
RNAcentral lists this ribosomal RNA (869 nucleotides) under uncultured bacterium. RNAcentral describes it as "bacterial SSU rRNA". It matches the Rfam family "Bacterial small subunit ribosomal RNA", at positions 608 to 1482 of the family's 1533-position model. The record is from RNAcentral.